RNAcentral lists this long non-coding RNA (2282 nucleotides) under Triticum aestivum (bread wheat). Its description in RNAcentral is "long non-coding RNA (TAES_LNC001347)". The record is from RNAcentral. Lineage: Eukaryota; Viridiplantae; Streptophyta; Magnoliopsida; Poales; Poaceae.
UGCAGUACUACUUUAUGAUUUGUGGCUGGUUGAUGGAACCUGUAUAUUCCAAUCCUUUGGAAUAGAGAUUCUACUUGUGCUUAGUAAUAUGGUGGAUUUCAUCUUAUACCUGAAGGUCUGUGACUGGAAAAUAAGUACGCUGUUUGGACAUUUCCGUUUUUAUAUGUUCUGCUGAUGACCGACUUUCAGUAAAGAUUAAGGUGUCUGCCUUGUAGAAAAAAUUACCAAUCAUCUAGCAAUUUCCUUUAAGUAUUAUAUAGUAUUCUUGAUCCACCGUUGUGUAUGUACACGCUAACGGCCGGCUGGCCGCAGCUAAUUACUCAUUAGUCAAUAUGUUAAUGAACUAGCACGAAAUUAGAGAAUCCCAAAGUCAGCAGGCAAUAGCCCAUGUACGAUCGUGGCUGGCUUAUUUUGAUCUAUGAAUCGAUCAGAUCGUGACCUGUGUAUGUGCAUAUUCUGCACUUUCACUGGCUGGAUAUAGUAACUUCGGUUCAGAUUUGAUUGUCACCAUCAUCCUAGAGCAUAGUAGCAACUGCUGCUAGGAGCCUAACGCUUGAGCACUUGGUGCAGCACCGCAGUAUUCGUCUUUACAACAGUGUGUUUGUUGCGCGCCGUCUUCCAUGAUGCAUUGAUCCUUGGAGUCUUUGAACCUGGUGUCAGAACUCAUGCGAGGCAACCUUAAACUUAAGUUAUAUCAUUACAAAUUAAGAUUGUUGUUAGAACUUUUAAAGAUUGCUCGUCAGUGUUUUUGUUCGAUCUACUUAAAUGUGCUUGGAAGUGUUAUUAUGUUUUUGUUCAAUCUACUUAAAUGUGUUUGCAAGUUCUUAUGAAAUGAAUCCAUUAUUCUUUACAGGACAAUUUUUUUACAUAUUCAGCUUUGGGAGAAAGUUCAGGGCAUAUAUAGCAGGCUACUUCUGUAGGAGGUACGACCGCAUGAAUAAUGUUGGCUUGUAAAGCUGUAGGUGAUUUAAGUGACAUCAUCUGCAGUGUAAUUCAGAAAAUCAUGUUGAAAAAGAUUUUGUAUUCACUCAGAUUACUAUUGUUGUCAAUCAUAUAUAUAAAUCAAAAUCACUAGAAAACACACUUGUUAACAUUUAAUACAGCCACCUGAUUUAGCUUUGUGCGAAUUAUUUUCUAUCAACUUCAAGUAUUUCUGGAGAUUUUUGAAUCUCUGCAUUUAUAUAUGCACUGUUAGAUCUGUGUUUGCAAUGAAGCAUGCUCUAUUUGUCGGCGCACACAUUUUUUGGGCAUUUACCUCACUGUAUCUUCAUUAUAUUCUUUGUAUGGUGUUUAUUAACUCAAUUAACAUAUGAAUGGUCUGUUCAUAAGGCUCUCUUUUCUCUGUCUACAGAGUUGAGUUCUAUGGUUGGGACUGUAAAAAGGUGUUCAAAUUAUGAUAUAUCAAAGCCCUUCACAGGUGAUGAUGUAUGUUGGAUGAUGGAAUGAUUAUUCUGUUCCGGUCCUUGCUUUGACUUGGUUGUUCAGAGAAGUAAAACUUCAACUAACAUGUUUAUUGAAGCAACAUAUUGUAUCUGAAGUGAAACUUUCUCUUUGAUAUGGAAAUGUGAGCAUCAAACUAACAUCCAUCUAAGAUAAGGUAUGCUGAUUUCUCUACUGUUUGGAAUUCAACAUGGUUGAGCAACAAUUUAUUAUUGAUCAUUCUUUUUGCAAUAUGAAUGCUCAUUGUAGUUCCUGCUUUGCUUGGGAAAUCUAAACAAGAAUGUUGCUCUUGCUACACUCCAAUGUACCGACCUAGAAUAUAAGACAAAAAUUGAGGGCGUUGAACUUGGUAAUUGAUUCUUGGUUGAUACGGCCACUAAAACAAAACUAUAGGCCAUAUAGCAAGAUGAACUAUUAUAUGGCCUUGAAGCUUCGUAUGUUGCUCUUUGUUUGAAUUUUACUGCCCUAUUAACUUGAUUUUAUUUGAUGCCACCUUAUUUUUCUCAUUUCUUUGUUGUAGAUUGCCAAGAUAUAUUGAUGAUCCAUGGCUCAGAAGUUGACUGCAAGAUCGAGAAGGUGGCUACUACUAGAUAGUUUUAGAUUAGGUUAUUAGAAUGUCAUUCAGGUCAAUGUUUCAAACAUUAUGUUUUAGAUGGCUGACAUGUUGAUUGCAAGGUUGAGAAUCAGACUACUACUAGAUAGUUUCACAUACUGUAAUCUUUGUAUCACGUUCUUUGUAAAGCAACCAAGUUGAUUUAAUAUAUGUGACCUUUCUAAUUAUUAUGUUUGUGUCUCUUAUGCACUAUCAACAUUGACAUAAUAAUUUAGAAUUUUGAUGUACA